RNAcentral lists this small nucleolar RNA (103 nucleotides) under Penicillium antarcticum. RNAcentral's name for it is "A. fumigatus snoRNA Afu_513". It matches the Rfam family "A. fumigatus snoRNA Afu_513". The record is from Rfam by way of RNAcentral. Lineage: Eukaryota; Fungi; Ascomycota; Eurotiomycetes; Eurotiales; Aspergillaceae.
UCCGAAGAUGAAACGGCACUGGGCUCCGACGGCAUCAAAAGAUGUUCGGUCAUGACGGAUAUGCCUAUUUUGCGGCAGGCCUAGAAAACCUCGCCCACUGAGA